This 253-nucleotide ribosomal RNA is filed under the name uncultured bacterium. RNAcentral describes it as "partial 16S ribosomal RNA". It matches the Rfam family "Bacterial small subunit ribosomal RNA", at positions 524 to 776 of the family's 1533-position model. The record is from RNAcentral.
UACGUAGGUGGCAAGCGUUGUCCGGAUUUAUUGGGUUUAAAGGGUGCGUAGGCGGCUUUGUAAGUCAGUAGUGAAAUACCCCAGCUCAACUGGGGGGGUGCUAUUGAUACUGCAUGGCUUGAGUACAGAUGAGGUAGGCGGAAUUGACGGUGUAGCGGUGAAAUGCAUAUAUAUCGUCAAGAACACCGAUAGCGAAGGCAGCUUACUACACAGUUAUUGACACUGAGGCACGAAAGCGUGGGGAUCAAACAGG